This 301-nucleotide ribosomal RNA is filed under the name uncultured bacterium. Its description in RNAcentral is "partial 16S ribosomal RNA". It matches the Rfam family "Bacterial small subunit ribosomal RNA", at positions 509 to 807 of the family's 1533-position model. The record is from RNAcentral.
CAGUCGCCACGGGAAUACGUAGGUGGCAAGCGUUGUCCGGAAUUAUUGGACGUAAAGCGCGUGCAGGUGGUUUAAUAAGUCUGAUGUGAAAGCCCACGGCUCAACCGUGGAGGGUCAUUGGAAACUGUUAAACUUGAGUGCAGGAGAGAAAAGUGGAAUCCCUAGUGUAGCGGUGAAAUGCGUAGAGAUUAGGAGGAACACCAGUGGCGAAGGCGGCUCUCUGGUCUGUAACUGACGCUGAGGAGCGAAAGCCAGGGGAGCGAACGGGAUUAGAUACCCCUGUAGUCCCUGUCUCUUAUAC